CUGGUAGCAAACGUUUGGACACAAGUUAAAUGCAAAUAUAAAAUUGCACGCCAAAACUUAAAAGUUAAAUUUGUAAUAAUAUUAAGUAGGUAGCACUGCAUGCCCAAGCUACAAUCCAUCAUACACAAUGACGAGUGACGACAAGAGCAGUUACGACUCCAGUGACAACAGCGAGGCCGAGGAGCGACACGCCAAGCACAAAAAGUCUAAAAAGCAUAAGAAACACAAAAAGUCGAGCAGCAGUGAAAAGGUGCACAAAAAGCACAAGAAAUCGAAAAAGCGCCAUCAGCGUCACAGCGAAUCUUCGAAUGCAUCCGAGAAGCAGCAGCUCAUUCGAAACAAUGCAGUGGCUCAAGGUCUGAGUAGCAAAUUUACUGAGUUGAUGCAAGCCAGUCGCGAGCGUAGCUCAAAACUGACGCCCAAUGGCGCCGACUUUCGUAUUGUCAAACCAAAUACAGACCCAUGCAGCUUGGUUGAAGAGAUUACCAAGACCAUACAGAACAAGGUGCGGCCUGUACUUGAAGUGGCCACAUCUGGUAGUGAGAGUGAUGUCCCCAUUGACAUAGCCAGCCCUGUGUUGUUGCCAGAUAAGCUCGAAGAUGAGCUAAAUUUGGAGGAGCUAAUGCGACAAAAGGCACUUCUGCAAGCACGCCUGGGUGCCUACAUGUCUGACACUGAAGGCGAUGAGACUCGUUCCAAUUCGUUGCAGCUCAAGCGUCCACUGCAGCAACCCCAGCAGCCACAGCAACCCGUUGUUGCAGCUAUCGAGGCGCCGAAGCGUAGGCCGAACUCGCAGUCUGCACUGCAGCUGGCAACUGCAACUAGUAAACAUGCUAAUAAUAAACAGUCUAACAUCAAUAACUCAAACGAACCCGAUGUUAUAUUAUUGGAUGAUUCUAGCGGUAGUCAGCGUACGCCCUCGCCCACACCAGAGAAGCGAAGACGACAAUCAUCGCCCAUCCCACAAAGAAGUCGGCCACAGCAGCAGCGUGACUCGCGAGAUCGUCGUUCGAUCCGAGAUCAACGAAGUCGCACGCCUCGCCGACGCAGUGAGCAACAGCUACAGCAGCAACAGAGACGUCAUCACCAAGAGUACAACAGGAACAUGGAAGAUCUGCGACAGGAGAUCAAUCGUGACAAGCAGCGAGAGCGACGCGAACAAAGUCGUGAUCGUGAAAGGAGACCAGAGAGAGAUAAUCGACAGCAGCAGUCAGAGCGUGGAGGUAGGCAGCGCGAGCGCGAACGAGAGCGUGAUCGUGAUCGUGAUCGCGAUCGCGAUCGCUGGCAACGUCCACGUUCGCAUAGUCGUAGUAAGUUUGAGUCAGAUAGAAGGCGUGAGCGUGAGCGUCAGCUGGAGCAGGAUCGGGGCGGUGAACGUGGCACAGGAUCUGGACGUGGAGCACGCUCUGGCAAUGGUGUGGGCGCCGCCGAUCGCGAUCGCUAUAAAGGCUCUUUAAGCGAGGGGCAGAAAAUGCACGAAAAGGAGAGCAGCGACGAGGAAACCAGUCUUGACAUAGAUAUCAACGAGGACGAGGAUGAUGAGGAGCGUAUCAUUGAGAUGCGUCGCAAGCAACGUGAGGAGCUGGUCAAGAAACUGGUUACCACUGAGGGGAAAUCGCGUACAACCAGCCCGACGCCUCGGAAAUCGAAUUCAUAUGAAUCGAGAAGCAUCUCACCCGUCUCCUCGAAACCCGAGCAGAUGCAGCAUUCGCCAACGAUUGAAAAAGAAGAGCAGCCGGCUGCUAAGCCCGAAGCGUUCGAUGCAAAUGCUUCGAAGAACAGCACAGUUAAAGAGAAACGCAACGAAUGGGACAUGUUUGCCGAUCAGGAUGUUGAUUCGAAUUUCGAUUCCCCCAGUACGAUAGUGCACAGUAAGCAUCAAAUUGAGAAUCCUGCUCUAACUGACAAUUGGGACGAUGCGGAGGGUUAUUAUCGUGUGCGCAUUGGUGAGGUACUGGACAAUCGCUACCUCGUCAGUGGCUACACAGGACAAGGCGUGUUCAGCAAUGUGGUGCGCAGCAGGGAUCAGGCGCGCGGCUCGGCCAAUGUGGCUAUCAAAAUUAUACGCAACAACGAGAUCAUGCAUAAGACAGGUCUACGUGAGCUGGAAAUCCUUAAAAAACUCAACGAUGCGGAUCCUGAUGAUCGUUUCCAUUGCCUUCGUUUAUAUCGGCACUUUUUCCACAAGCAGCAUCUUUGCAUGGUGUUUGAGCCGCUGGCCAUGAAUCUGCGCGAGGUKCUCAAGAAAUAUGGCAAAAAUGUGGGUCUUCACAUAAAAGCGGUGCGCAGCUAUACUCAGCAACUGUUCCUCGCUCUUAAGCUGCUGAAAAAGACGGGCAUACUGCAUGCGGACAUCAAGCCCGAUAAUAUUCUAGUUAAUGAGAAUAAUUUGAUAUUGAAGCUGUGCGAUUUUGGCUCUGCCUCGGCCAUCAGUGAGAAUGAAAUAACGCCUUACUUGGUAUCACGUUUCUAUCGAGCACCUGAAAUAAUAUUGGGUAUACCCUAUGACUAUGGCAUUGAUACGUGGUCAGCUGGUUGCACUAUCUACGAACUAUAUACGGGCAAGAUAUUGUUCAGUGGCAAGAGCAACAACCAGAUGCUUAAAUUCUUUAUGGAUGUAAAGGGCAAGAUACCCAAUCGCAUCAUACGCAAGGGACAAUUCAGAGAACAGCAUUUUGAUCAAAGCUGCAAUUUCCUCUAUCACGAAAUAGACAAAUUAACAGAGAGGGAAAAGAUCGUCGUGAUGCCUGUGGUGAAGCCUACCCGCAAUUUGCAACAGGAGCUAAUCGCUGAUCAGAACUUACCCGAUGAUCAGCAUCGCAAGGUGACACAGCUCAAAGAUCUGCUGGAGAAUAUGUUUGCCUUGGAUCCGGGCAAACGUAUAUCGCUAAAUCAGGCACUCACACAUCCCUUUAUACAGGAGAAAAUGUAGCUCCAAACAGCACAGAGAGCGACACAAUAAACUGGACCUCUGCUGAUCUAUAAAGAAAUGGAAUCGAGCUGCGCAACUGCUAAUUCGGCCGAAAUUGUGGAAACUGCGCGUCUUGAAACUUUGACACAAUUCCACGUCCGGGCGUAAACCAGGAGGCGAGGAUUCCUCUUGCGAGCAAGCCACAGGAUAUUUUGGCAAUUGGC
Drosophila arizonae is the source of this 3135-nucleotide unclassified non-coding RNA. The record is from RefSeq and is a predicted model, not a curated record. NCBI's taxonomy places the organism in Eukaryota, Metazoa, Arthropoda, Insecta, Diptera, Drosophilidae.